GCAUCUAAGAACCACAGGAAGUAGGGCUUCCAAGAAGGGACUUCUGGUCUACCCUAGCACGUGGCGUCCCCCAGCAAGGGCCUGGACCAGCCCAGAUCAGGGGAGGAGCUCAAGGCACUGUCAGGGAAGUGGGUCAACCAUGGAGACAGGGCAUUGAGAAGGUGCCAACACCUGUAUCAAAACUCUUCUGGAGGUUAUUAGUGCAUUUCUUUGUUCACCUUUGGACAUGCAGGAUGGCCAGACACCCGAUGUGUGGCUUGUGGACCCCAGCAAACCACAAUGCAAGAUUCUCCAAACCCCUAUUGCCACCAACUGAGUAAAUACGCUUGGCACAAAAUGGGCUACUGUCUUCCUGGUGCUUUGACACGGCCCCGAAGUUAUGUAAGAUGAGUUAACCUGCAGCGCUGCCACAUGUUCUUGUGAGAAGUUAAACAAGGAGAGGAAAACAGGAGGGAGGAAGCGGUAACUUACCAACUUCCUCCCGUCCGAAGUCCUUGAUUCCAACUCUUUCCUUCGAAGAACAGACUUUGUGAUAACCUUUACUCUUGAUUGCUACGUGACAGCAGUGGCGGGGUGGGGGGUUGUAAAUGGCACAGCGGCGGGUGCGGCGAAAUUCGGGGUGCGGCCCUAAGCCACACGACUUUCCGCUGCAUCGAGAGGGUUGUGCAUGUGCUCAGCUGAGCCUCGGUGCUUGGAGCAAGCGUGUGCAACCCCAAGGCCCCCGACCGCGACUCGCUGCUAACAUUCUGGCUUCACCGAAAGCCAGUGAGUGGUUAAACACUGACUUCUGACCCCUGCUCCUCCGGCGAUCUGUCUUGCCCCUCGCAUUCCUGCGGGUCCCGGGCUGGGGGACGCUGCCUACGUGCGGCGGCUGCCCUUGCGCGGCCGAAACGCCGGCUGCUUCCUGGAACGCGGUGCAGAUAAGAAGCCGCUGCCGGGCUCGGGUUUCAGAAGCGCGCCACCGCGGGUUACAAAACCCUGUGUCAUAAUUUCACUUCGGAUUUUUUUUUUUUUCUUUCCUAGUGCUGGCUUCCCGCAGAAGGACGUUUUGUGUGUUAGGUCCAUGUGUGCGUGUGUAUUUCCUUUUGGUAAUUAUUUUGGAAAACGUUCAGAGGCUAAAAAUAGAGAAGCCAGAAGCCUCCUUGCUGCGCGACUCGCGGCCCCAAGCUCUCCAGCGCACAGGGUCCUGCUGAGACACAGCGACGACCACCGUGUGUCCCCGAGUGCCCGAGCCCCGUGCCGGGCCUGGCCGCUGAGGACGCGCUCCCCGCCACCGGCUCAUUUUCUCGGUUCUAAAACCUUCAAUGCCCGUCGCUAGCAACUUAAUCUGCGCUCUAACUCGCAGAAUUCUUUUGACCUGUUGGAGAAAAAUAGCAUUUUAAGAUGUGGGUUAUUCAAGAGGGUGGAGUCGGCUAAGUUUAGUGGACGCUAAAAAUAGCCCAGCGGUGCGGGCGGGUCAGGCCUGGGGGCGCCAGGACCUCCGCCCUCACCCUGCCCCCUACGGGCCUACGAGCCGCAGCCCUCCCAGGGCCUGUGCGUAAUUCUAGCCAAGGCCCAGUGUCAUUUCCAAGAGGUGCCUCUCGGCCGGGUUACUCAUAUGUCAGAUUCCCAUUCUCACGUUGUGUUUCACGCAGCAACUGCAUUUCCAAAGAAAAGCGUGAGUCACUACCAAGUGGCUGCAGAGGGAGGGGAGGGCCACCAUACACCGGAAGAAAGGGGGGGGGGGAAGGGGCCUUUUUAUAGCGUUCUGAGCUGGCUUUCUUUUCCAUAGGUUAAUUUUUAUCUUAACUACCAAACUUAGGCUGGAUCGCCUUUUUAUAAGAAAUCUAUUUAAAUACAAGGGAUUAUUUGAACUUCUUUUUAAAAAGCCAAGGGCAUUUUUUGUGUGGUUCUCAGCUUAUAAAUAAAAUAUAUUAAUAGUUGUUUAAUGGGCAUUUAAAAUGCCAACUGCCUGUGACUG
This 1960-nucleotide long non-coding RNA is filed under the name Homo sapiens (human). Its description in RNAcentral is "HSALNT0353640". Lineage: Eukaryota; Metazoa; Chordata; Mammalia; Primates; Hominidae. The record is from RNAcentral.